AUUGAACGCUGGCGGCAGGCUUAACACAUGCAAGUCGAACGGUAACAUAAAGAAGCUUGCUUCUUUGAUGACGAGUGGCGGACGGGUGAGUAAUGCUUGGGAAUCUAGCUUAUGGAGGGGGAUAACUACGGGAAACUGUAGCUAAUACCGCGUAGUAUCGAGAGAUGAAAGUGUGGGACCUUCGGGCCACAUGCCAUAGGAUGAGCCCAAGUGGGAUUAGGUAGUUGGUGAGGUAAAGGCUCACCAAGCCGACGAUCUCUAGCUGGUCUGAGAGGAUGACCAGCCACACUGGGACUGAGACACGGCCCAGACUCCUACGGGAGGCAGCAGUGGGGAAUAUUGCGCAAUGGGGGCAACCCUGACGCAGCCAUGCCGCGUGAAUGAAGAAGGCCUUCGGGUUGUAAAGUUCUUUCGGUAGCGAGGAAGGCAUUUAGUUUAAUAAACUAAGUGAUUGACGUUAACUACAGAAGAGCACCG
RNAcentral lists this ribosomal RNA (477 nucleotides) under Terrahaemophilus aromaticivorans. RNAcentral describes it as "bacterial SSU rRNA". It matches the Rfam family "Bacterial small subunit ribosomal RNA", at positions 30 to 495 of the family's 1533-position model. The record is from RNAcentral. Lineage: Bacteria; Pseudomonadati; Pseudomonadota; Gammaproteobacteria; Pasteurellales; Pasteurellaceae.